AACGCACAUUGCGCCCCUUGGUAUUCCGAGGGGCAUGCCUGUUCGAGCGUCAUUUCAAACCCUCAAGCUUCUGCUUGGUGUUGGGCUCUCGUCCUGUCACAAGGACGUGCCCGAAACUCGUAGGCGGUGGCGCCCAGCUCCUUUGCGUAGUUAUACAUUUCGCUCUGGAUUAGUUGGGUACUGCUCGCCCUAUAACCUUUUAUUUUUUCUUAUGGUUUGACCUCGGAUCAGGUAGGGAUACCCGCUGAACUUAA
RNAcentral lists this unclassified non-coding RNA (254 nucleotides) under uncultured fungus. RNAcentral describes it as "sequence contains ITS2". The stretch from base 1 to 52 matches the Rfam family "5.8S ribosomal RNA", at positions 103 to 154 of the family's 154-position model. The record is from RNAcentral. Lineage: Eukaryota; Fungi.